AUAGCGUAUAUUAAAGUUGUUGCAGUUAAAAAGCUCGUAGUUGAACUUCAGACCUGGCUGGGCGGUCAGCUUAUCGGCGUGUAAUGUCUGGCUGGGCCUUACUUCUUGGGGAGCUGGUGUGUCCUUUAUUGGGUGCGUCGGUGAACCAGGACCUUUACCUUGAGAAAAUUAGAGUGUUCAAAGCAGGCCUAUGCCCGAAUACAUUAGCAUGGAAUAAUAAAAUAGGACGUGCGGUUCUAUUUUGUUGGUUUCUAGAGUCGCCGUAAUGAUUAAUAGGGAUAGUUGGGGGCAUUGGUAUUGAGUCGCUAGAGGUGAAAUUCUUGGAUUGACUCAAGACCAACUACUG
Molecule: ribosomal RNA, 346 nt
Filed under: uncultured eukaryote
Lineage: Eukaryota
Description: SSU rRNA
Rfam family: Eukaryotic small subunit ribosomal RNA
Source: RNAcentral